Molecule: ribosomal RNA, 464 nt
Filed under: Vreelandella stevensii
Lineage: Bacteria; Pseudomonadati; Pseudomonadota; Gammaproteobacteria; Oceanospirillales; Halomonadaceae
Description: partial 16S ribosomal RNA
Rfam family: Bacterial small subunit ribosomal RNA
Source: RNAcentral
CCUACGGGAGGCUGCAGUGGGGAAUAUUGGACAAUGGGGGGAACCCUGAUCCAGCCAUGCCGCGUGUGUGAAGAAGGCCCUCGGGUUGUAAAGCACUUUCAGUGAGGAAGAACGCCUGGUGGUUAAUACCCAUCAGGAAAGACAUCACUCACAGAAGAAGCACCGGCUAACUCCGUGCCAGCAGCCGCGGUAAUACGGAGGGUGCGAGCGUUAAUCGGAAUUACUGGGCGUAAAGCGCGCGUAGGUGGCUUGAUAAGCCGGUUGUGAAAGCCCCGGGCUCAACCUGGGAACGGCAUCCGGACCUGUCAAGCUAGAGUGCAGGAGGGGAAGGUAGAAUUCCCGGUGUAGCGGUGAAAUGCGUAGAGAUCGGGAGGAAUACCAGUGGCGAAGGCGGCCUUCUGGACUGACACUGACACUGAGGUGCGAAAGCGUGGGUAGCAAACAGGAUUAGAUACCCCAUAGUC